RNAcentral lists this long non-coding RNA (7511 nucleotides) under Homo sapiens (human). RNAcentral describes it as "HSALNT0088257". The record is from RNAcentral. Lineage: Eukaryota; Metazoa; Chordata; Mammalia; Primates; Hominidae.
UAGACCACAAUACCUGGAUAUUUGAUCAAACCUUAUUCUAAAUGUUCCUGUAAAAGUAUUUUUUAGAUGAGGGUAACAUUUAAUCAGCAGAUUUUGAGUAAAGCAGGUUACCCCCUAUAAUGUGGGUGAUUUUCUUUCAAUUAGUUGAAGGCCUUAAGAGAAAAGAAAAACUGAGGUCUCCUGAAGAAGAGUGAAUUUUGCCAGCAAAUGGCAUUUACACUUGAACUGGAACAUCAAAACUUCCUUGACUCUCUCACCUGCUGGCCCAUCUUGUAGAUCUUUGACUUGCCAGCCUCCACAAUCAUAAAAUCCAAGCUCCUCCAUGACUACUCAACAGCAAGAAGUACAAGAACCUCAGAAGUGUGGCCUCUUCUUCCCUUCCUCUUCAAUAUGUCCUGAACCUCCAGCAAAAUAAUGAGUAUCUUGACUCUUAUUGCACAUACAAUCUUUCCAGGGCUCUAUUCUGAAGCACUACAAGAGGAAACAGACUGGAACGACAAAGCUGAAUAGAGAGACCUAUGGAAGACAGAGAACUACAGAAAUCUAUUCUUUAUAUAUAAGUUAAGGCAAAACAAAUAUAUCAAUUUUACUAAAGCUUUUCAAUACUUAGACCCUGACAUGUGUAAAUGUGAAUAAACAUAUAUAUACAUACAAAUAUGCACCUUUAAAAUAAAAUAAGAGUGUAACUUGGUGAUGAGAAAAAAGAGAAGCAGUAAUAGCCAAAGUGUGGACUCGGAAGGGAAGAAGAAUGAGGUGGAGGCUUUCUUUCUUUUUCUGGCCUCAAGUUUCCAUAUGGAGAGACUUCAUACUGUAGAAAUAUCUAUCUACUACCAAUUUGAGAUCCUCCCCCAAAUCCUUACUCACUCCUUCCUAGGGGAAGAAUCAUGGUUUAUCUGAUUCAUCAUCACACUUUAGAGUUAUUGAACUUUACCACUGAUUAACAAAUUAAUCUGGUGAGCAAAUAAUCAGAGUAAAAUGAUACAACAUUUAAUUAGAUGUAAACUACAAGGCAUCUGGUGUCACCUAGGAAAGAAACAGGUGUCAGUGGUGACAUAUUUCAACCCUAUUGCACAAAUUCAGCAAGAGAACACCCACAAUCCACAUGUUACUGUGUUUGCCACACCUACGUUAUUAUGGGAAUCAGGAAAUCUGGAGUGACUGGCACUAAGAUAUUAAAUAGAAAUCUGGAAGUUACUAUCAUUUAUAUUGUCUUCCUAUGGAAUUCUCAUAUGUGCAGGUAAGUGUCCCAAAGGGAAGAAAAUUGUGCUUGGUUUGAUGGCUAUAAUUGACAUUGCAUAGGGUGAUCUACUCAAAAGACAAUGCAAAUUCAAUACCAAUAAGUUGAGUAAUAGGGUAAAAGGACAAACCAAAAGCUUGUACAUUUUUAUUGUUCUUACUGGAUGUAUGUACUUAUGUACAUGUAUGAAUAUGAAAAUAUUAUAAGUAGAGAUACUUUAAAAUGUGUAUCAAUGUGUGCACAUUCAUAUUUAUAAGAUCUAUAAUAUACAAGUAUAUAUUAUAUAUACUAUAUAUAAGUAUAUAUUUAUAUAUUAUGUAAGUAUAUAUUAUAUAUUAUAAGUAUAUAUAAUAUAUAGCUAUACAUAAUAUAUACUUAUUAUAUUAUAUAUUUUAUAUAUUUAUAUAAUAUCUUUGCCAUAAAAAAUACAUUAUGGAAAAUUUGAAACACAUACAAAAGUAGAGACAAUGGUAUAAUGAAUACCCCAUGUACCGAUAACCCAGGUCAACAAUUAUCUUCUCAUUGCUAAUUUAUUUCUUUUGUACCCCUACCCAUUUUCCCCUUUCCCCUUCCUGAUUAUUUCAAAACAAAUCCCAGACAUGAUAUUAUAUCAUCUGUAAGUAUUCUAGUGUUUGUUUCUAAAAGGCAAGAACCCCACUUUUAAAUAUAACCACAACACCAUCAUUACAUUUCACCCCCUACCUUUCAUUAUGUGAAGUCAACAAUAAUUCCUCAAUAUCACUAAAUAGCCAGUCAGGGUUCAAACUUCAGUUGUCAUACAAACGUUGUUGCUUUUUAAUAGUUCAUCUGCAUUGGAAUUGAAUUGAAUUGAAAUAGAAAAAGUUCCAGAUCUGAGGUUGGCUAAAGGUCUCUUAAGAGCCUUUUACUCUACAAGUUCCCUUUCACCUUUUUAUUUUUCUUGAAGUUUUUUGUUUGUUUAUUUUUGGUUGUUGUUGAGGGAAACAGGUUGCUUGUCCUGUAGUGUUUCUCAUGUCCUGGAAUUUAAUAUUGCAUACUCUUAGUCUCAUCCAAUGUGUUUCUCUCUUAUGAACUGACACUUAUCUAUAGGUUUAAUCAAAUUAAAAGUCAAUAUUUUGGCAUGACUUUAUUAUAGAAGGUAUUGUUUACUUCUAUCAGGAACUGAAUCAUAUCUACUUGUCUUUCUUUUUUAAUGUUAGCAGCUAUUGAUAUUUAUUUUCUGGGUCUAUUCAUUUAGUAUGGGAUAUAAAAUGAUUACACAUCUUCUUCAUUUGGUAACAAAAACUUUCCCUCAUCAAAUUGUUUGUUUACCUUAUGAUACAAUUUGUAUGUGAAUAAAUACUUACUUCCCUUUAUCAUUUUUUAAAAUAGCAAAUUGGUGGUGACCAAUUUUUUCCUUCUGAAUAAAAUCAUUAAUUCAUAAAUUUAAGUAUAUUUGAUAUACUUUAGUCUGCAAAAGUUAUUAUCUUUGUUGACAUUAAUAUUGCCCCAUCUUUGCAUAAUGAGAGCUUACUAUUGUUGGUUCCAGGGUCUUUUUGACGUAAAUCUAGCAGUCAUUGAUAGCUUUAUAUUUUAUUACAAUAAGAUAGUCCAAGCUUGUCCUGUAUUUCCUAACUCAGAGCUAGUAUUGCCUAUCUUUCAAAAUAUUCUUCAUUCCUUUUUUAUGGAAAUGGUAUUUACAGACCAAAAUCUAGGCCCUCAUCACUACUGGGUCAAUCUUUUGUCUAAGAUUUUUUGUGGAUUCAGUUAGAUAGUACAUGUUAAUUUAAAUACUAAUACAUGCAAAUAAAAUUAAGAACUACAGGGUUUUGACUUAACCUUAACCAUCUUGUAUUACCUUUCUUCACAUCAAAACUUCUAGUAUUCAAGGAAGCUAAAAUAAUCACUCAAUAGCUUUAUUUAUUUAUAUUAUAUAUAACACUCAUAACAGGCCUAAAACUCCCUUUAAUAAUAUGAUUGCUGAAAAACAGUUUAAGAUUUGUUUACAACUGUGUGUACUUGGGGAUGUACUCUCAAAUUACUGUGUUUUAGUCAUUUGGAAUAGUUUCUAUCUUGGUUCCACCAGCUGGGUACACAGAUUCAUUUUGAUACAUUUUGCCUUGAUGUUUAGGGCUUACUUUUAAGUUUCAAUUUUAUUUUAUAAAUAUGUAAAAUAUGUAUGUGGUUCUAAAAUCAAAUCCAUAAAACAACUUAUAUUCAUAAAAGUUUUACCUCUAUUUUUGUCUUUUCCAUAUAACUCUCUCCCUAUUUAGAUAACUCUGUUACAUCAUUACUACUUUGUAAUUAAGACACACACAUAGGCAUAUACAGGCAUUAACUAGCAGCAUACUAUAUGAUCUGGUUUGGCUGUGUCCCCACCAGAAUCUCAUCUUGAAUUUCCAUGUGUUGUGGGAGGGACCUGGUGGGAGGUAAUUGAAUCAUGGGGACAGGUAUUUCCCAGGCUGUUCUCAUGAUAGUGAAUAAGUCUUACAAGAUUUGAUGGUUUUAAAAGCAGGAGUUUCCCUGCGCAAGCUCUCUCUUUGCCUGCUGCCAUCCAUGUAGAUGUGACUUGCUCUACCUUGCCUUCUGCCAUGAUUGUGGGGCCUCCUCAGUCAUGUGGAACUGUUAAGUCCAUUAAACCUCUUUUUCUUCCCAAUCUCGGGUAUGUACUUAUCAGCAGUGUGAAAAUGGACUAAUACACUCUACAUACUUUUUCACCUUCCUUUCUGAUUUAACUACAUAUUCCUGAGAUUAUUCUAUAGUAAUAUAUAGAUAUAUUAACCUUUUCUAUGAUAGGUACAUAGAUUUCUAUUGUGUUGAUAUACCACAGUUUCUUCAAUCUAUCCUUCACUGUUAUUUGAACUUUGUUUACAGACAUAAAAGAUAUAUUCUAGUCCUUAAAAAAAAGCUAUAUUUGGCAGGGUGUGGUGGCUCCACCUGCAAUCCCAGCAGUUUGGGAGGCUGAGGCGGGUGGUUCACCUGAGGUUAGGAGUUCAAGACCAGCCUGGCCUACAUGGUGAAAUCCUGUAGUAAAAAUACAAAAAAAUUAGCUGGGCAUGGUGGCGGAUGCCUGUUAUCCCAGCUACUUGGGAGGCUGAAGCAGGAGAAUCGCUUGAACCUGGGAGGCAGAGGUUGCAGUGAGCUGCGAUCCCACCACUGCAUGCCAGCCUGGUCAACAGAGCAAGACUGUGUCUCAAAAAAAAAAAAAAAGAAAAAAGAAAAAAUAUAUAUUCAAGCCCCGGUACUUGUAAAUGUGACCUUAUUUGUAAAUAGGGUUUUUGCAGAUAUAAUCAAGUUAAGAUGAGGUCAUCCUCCUAUGUUAGUUAGGCCCUAAUUCAAUAUUUUGGUGAUCUUAUAAGAAGAGGAGAGAAGCCAACAGGGAGAAGAUAGCCAUGUGAGACAGAGACAGAGAUUGGAGACAAGAACUGCCAAGGACUGUCAGAAACCAGAAGAGGCAAGGAAAGAUUCCUUCCUACAGGUUUCAGAGGGAGUAUGGCCCUAUUGAUAGCCUGAUUUUAGAUUUCCAGCAUUCAGAACUGGGACACAAUUUUUUGUUUGUUUGUUUUUUUAAACCACAUAGUUUUUUACACCAUAGUUAUUACUUUUUUACAGCAAUCCUGGGAAACUAAUAUACUUACUGAUUGCCAUUUUGGUAGUUUCUAGUCUUCUGCUCUUGGAAACAAUGCUGUGAUGAAAAUCUUUGUAAAUACAUCAUUUUAUAUAUUUUUUCCAGAGUACUUUGCAGUGGAGUUUUGGAAAUGAGAUUGCUGGUCAAAGGGUAAAUACAUAGGUAGUUUUGGAAGACAGUCUCAAAUUCCCUUCUAUACGGGUUUUAUUAUUUUGCUUCGUGAGCAAUAAUUUUCAAUGUGCCUAUUUCCUUACACUUAAAAUUUUGCCCAUCUGAUAGGUGAAAAAUUAUUUUUCAAUAUAGUUUUAAUUUUAAUUAUCUCUUAUUGGUAAGGCUGACUGUAUUUUCAUAUGGUUAACAGCCAUUUGAUUUCUUCUGGUCGGGGUACUAUCUGUUCAUAUAUUUAGCCCAUUUUUCUAUGAAGGUAAGUCCCCCUUCCCAUCUAGAGUUAUUUUUAUAUUGGAAUUAUUAAUUAUUUGAGAUAUGUUAAAUACCCCAGUUCGUUUUUUGUCUUUUUAUUUGCUUAUGAUGUUUUUUCAUUUAUUUAUUGCCAUCCUUAAGACAUUUUAAAGUCUUUAUUUCUUGAAUUCACCAGUGAUAUAUAAUCAGUUCAUGGAGAAAAGAUACUUUUAUUAAGAAUAAAGCUAACAUAGAGGACUUUUUAGACGGUCUUCCAGAUUUUUUUAUAAUGUAAUGGUAUAUUAUUGGUUUUAUGCUUAAAGUUGAUUUUGAGGAAUUCUGACACAAUUCUAAGUUGCAUGGCUUAUAGCACUCAGAAAGAUAAAGGAAUCUUUGCUUGAAUUAACACUUUCUCAUCAGCCUUUGGUGUAUGGAUAGAAAGUACCAGAUUAUCUAUUAGUAAGAAACGAAUCAGCACUUACACAUUUGAAAAAUACAUUCACUGUUUAAAAUUUACUCAGUUGACAUUUAAAUAUGCCACACAUAUUCUUUAGCAAUUCAACUUUUAUCAAACACUAAACAUUUAUUGUCUGUUGCCUAUGAACAUGUGUCUUCUUCCAAGUGAAUUUAUCAUCUAAAACUGGUCUAUUUUACCCAGAUCCUACAAGUAAUUAUCUCUACAAGCUUCAGCAAAUGCGCUUUUAGUUCCUGUCUGUGUAAGAUGAGGUGGCUAGAAUAAAAUAUUCUAAAGCUCAUUUCAACUCUAAAAUAUAUUAAUCUGCUUCUGUAGUAAGGAUCUCACAUUUCUUAGGAAACCCUUGAAUAGAUCUUAUCUCUUUUCAUUUAGACAAAAUUAAUUUCAGCACCUCUUGGUUGAUAGAUACAAAAAUGGAACUUCACAUAGUUCCAUUCCCUUUCUGCCAUGCAGAGUGAAUGGCCUGAGAACACAUUUAUAACUGAGAGGUAGGGGAGCAGGCUGACUCACCUGCAGGGCCUUGACUUCUGUAGAUACCCAGCUCCUUCAGGAAGCGCUGAGGAGUGCUCUCAUCCUCCCUCCAGGAGGGAAGGAAGACAGGCAAGAGGAGGAGAGGAGGUUCACCAGAUUCCUCCUAAGCUGACAUUGUCCCUGAUAAUUUCUAUGGCCCAAUUUGGAGCCUCAGCUUCAGUAAAUUCUGACAACUCAGGAUAAAAGGACCCCACCACGUUGUGCUCCCCUAUGACCUAUUCUUUUCUUUCAUGCAAGUUAUAUUUAAAAACCAUGUAUUUUAUGUUUGUUUAUGUGUUUACUGCUUGCCUUUGGGACAAGAUUGUAAGCUCUCUAAGGACAGGGAUCAGAUAUUGUUUUAUUUUAAACAAAUGCAUAUGUAAUUAAUUUUAUAUUUUAAAUUUAUUGUUAUUGCAUUUUCCAUUUGAAUUUAUUAUUUAAUAAUUUUAAUAAAUUGUAAUAAUGAAUGUGAUUGUAGCUAAUUCUCAUUAUUUGGGGAUUCCCUAUUUGUGAGUUUACCUAUUCACUAAGAUUUAUUUGUAACAUCCAAAUCAAUACUCCCAAUGCUUAGUAGUCAUUGCUGGACAUACCAUGUGCAGAAUGGGGAAAAGCAAAGUGGCCUGAUGUGCACAUUCCUGGUUGAGGGUCCCAGCUGAGGUUGAACAAGAUGACAUUCUCUUAUUAUUUCAGGUCUCAUACUGUAAACAAGUGUACUUUCUGUGAUCUAUUUAAUGCUACAUUUUUCACAUUUUUGUGUUUUAUUAUUGAUAGUUUUCUUGCUUAAAAUGGCCCUCAGGCAUAGUGCUGAAGUGCUAUCUAGUGUCCUCAAGCACAGGAAGCCUAUGACGUGCCUUACAGAGAAAGCACUCAUGUUAAUAAGCUCCUUUCAGGCAUGAGUUCUGUGUGGUUGGCUGUGAGUUCAAUAUUAAUGAAUAGACAAUAUAUGUUUUGCAUGGUGUCUUUAAACAGAAACAUAAAACAUACAACAAGCAACAAGGCUAUGUAUUGAUUAUUUGAUUAAAACGUUGUGACAAGAGGCUCCCAGGAACCCAACCCUGUAUUUCCUCUCCGUGACAAUGAUUCAGUAUGUGCUAAUUCAGUAUUCACAGAGACUCUAUAGAACAUAACUACUUCAAAUAAUGAAAAUUAACUGUGUUUAAUUUUUAUUUUUCUUUUAAAUGAAUGAAUAUCAAUGUAAUAAAUAUUUAUACCUGUCAUAUAGUUGGUUACUAAUAAAUGUUUAUCAAAUGAACAAUUAAAUGAAUGUUGAUUGUGAUCAGAACCGUGAUCUUGAUAAAAGGGUU